CCUACGGGAGGCUGCAGUGAGGAAUAUUGGUCAAUGGACGAAAGUCUGAACCAGCCAAGUCGCGUGAAGGAUGACUGCCCUAUGGGUUGUAAACUUCUUUUAUAUGGGAAAAAAACAGGGUAGGCAGGCCCUCUUGUAGGUACCCUAUAAAUAGGGAUCGGCUAACUCCGGUCCAGCAGCCGCGGUAAUCCGGAGGAGCCAAGCGUUAUCCGGAUUUAUUGGGUUUAAAGGGAGCGUAGGUGGUUGGUUAAGUCAGGUGGGAAAGUUUGCGGCUAACCCGUAAAAUUGCAGUUGAAACUGGCAGGCUGGAGUACAGUAGAGGUGGGCGGAAUUUGUGGUGUAGCGGUGAAAUGCUUAGAUAUCACGAAGAACUCCGAUUGCGAAGGCAGCUCACUGGACUGCAACUGACACUGAUGCUCGAAAGUGUGGGUAUCAAACAGGAUUAGAUACCCUAGUAGUC
Molecule: ribosomal RNA, 460 nt
Filed under: uncultured bacterium
Lineage: Bacteria
Description: partial 16S ribosomal RNA
Rfam family: Bacterial small subunit ribosomal RNA
Source: RNAcentral